RNAcentral lists this ribosomal RNA (536 nucleotides) under uncultured Gammaproteobacteria bacterium. Its description in RNAcentral is "bacterial SSU rRNA". It matches the Rfam family "Bacterial small subunit ribosomal RNA", at positions 9 to 532 of the family's 1533-position model. Lineage: Bacteria; Pseudomonadati; Pseudomonadota; Gammaproteobacteria. The record is from RNAcentral.
GAGUUUGAUCCUGGCUCAGAUUGAACGCUGGCGGUAUGCUUAACACAUGCAAGUCGAACGGUAACAGAGGAAAGCUUGCUUUCUUGCUGACGAGUGGCGGACGGGUGAGUAACGCGUGGGAAUCUACCUAGUAGCGGGGGAUAGCCAGAAGAAAUUCUGAUUAAUACCGCAUAUACCCUACGGGGGAAAGAGGCCCUCUUCUUGAAAGGUCUCACUACCAGAUGAGCCCGCGUUAGAUUAGCUUGUUGGUGAGGUAAGAGCUCACCAAGGCAACGAUCUAUAGCUGGUCUGAGAGGAUGAUCAGCCACAUUGGGACUGAGACACGGCCCAGACUCCUACGGGAGGCAGCAGUGGGGAAUAUUGGACAAUGGGCGCAAGCCUGAUCCAGCAAUACCGCGUGUGUGAAGAAGGCCUUAGGGUUGUAAAGCACCUUUAUGAGUGAAGAAGGGUUAGUAAUUAAUACUUACUGGCAUUGACGGUAACUCACGAAUAAGCACCGGCUAACUCCGUGCCAGCAGCCGCGGUAAUAAGGGCGA